Molecule: long non-coding RNA, 2212 nt
Organism: Pseudopipra pipra
Lineage: Eukaryota; Metazoa; Chordata; Aves; Passeriformes; Pipridae
Exons: 2
Source: RefSeq, a predicted model, not a curated record
GAGGAGGAGGAGGAGGAGGAGGAGGAGGAGGAGGAAGCAGGGGGUGACCUGCCCCAGCGCCAGGCGUGCAGCGGACGCCACGGGCCGAAGCCCCAGAGGAGAUGGUGGCCACAGGGGUCUGUCCCUGUGGUGGGGGGCUCAGGGCCAGCCCCUGGUGCUCCUGCAGCCCUGCUCUCCCCGCGCCGCGGUGCCAGCACUGCAGGACUGGCAGAGCCCGAGCAGCAGGAGAAACUCAUGUUUACAGGAGCACGAGGGCUGUGUUGUGGUUUUAUUUUGGAUUUGAUUUUUUUUUUUUUGGUACGUUUGUUUGUUUGGAACAUCAGCAGCAUGAGGAAGAAGGAGAAGAAGAAACGCAUCCCGCUUCCACUUUGAUUUGUAACCAGAAGCUGUGGGAUAUGGUUUGUGUGUCUGAUGGCACCUGGAGCCACUGUGGGGGUCCUGCCACCCCCUUUGACUCACAGCAGGGUCAGGCACAGUGCAGGGGACCCUGGUCCCCAAAUGCCUCCAGGCACUGCAGUGUAUUCCCCUACCAGUGGGGUCUGUCCCUAAUUCAGGGCGUGGAGGGGACCGGAGUCCUCUCCUCCCCAUUCUUAACUUUUUGUUUAAAAAGAAAACUUAAAGCAAAAAAACCCAACCCGAUCCCAAACCCACUCCCCCAACCUGCCACACCAGAAACCAACCCCAGGCCCUUGGCUUGGGCUUUUAGCCUGGAAGGCUCCAUUGUAAUAAAUGGUAUUUUCAAAGCCCAGCGUGGUCCCUGUGUGUUUGGGAGGGAGCGCCUGGACACAGCACAUCCUUGUGCCCUGCUUGGGGGGACACCAUCACCCCCCUUCCAGCGCUCCCGGGGUGGACAGGGACAGGGAAGCACUGCAGGAUCCAUCCAUCCAUCCAUCCAUCCAAACCCCUUGGACAAGGAGAGGUGGCUUUCCCGUCAGACUAACUCUGCAUGUCCCACCUGUGUCCCUGCAGGUCCACAGCCCCAGGGCUCUGCAGGGCUGCCAGGCAGGCCAGGAAGGACCCAAACCUCCGCUCGCCCUCCCCAGCUGGGAUGGGGAAGAGCCCAUCCCUGGCAGAGCCUGCAGCCGGAGGGAGCACAUGGGGAUGCUCCCGGUGCGUCCCCUCCCACUCCACCUUGCUCCUCUUCCCAGCCGGCCUCGCAGAGCACCUUGGAGCCUCUCGUUCCUCAUGCUCGCCCUCAGCCACGGAUGCAGGAGCGAGGUGGCAGCUCCAGCGAGCUCACCCUGGGUGUUCUCCCCCUCUGCAGCCCCAACGAGCAGGUAGGACCACGAGUUUCUUUCCCUUUCCUCUGCGGGCGCUCCCCGGUCCCGUGUGCCUCCCCCCGGCCAGGCCCCGAGCCCCCGUGUCCCAGCCCUCCAUCCUGCACGUGCCUGGCUCUGCAGGAGCUCCCUGCCCAGGUUUGCAUGCUCGGGAGGCACGAGGGGCUGCCCGGGACAGGACCUUUUGGUCCUGGUAGGGCCCCCCCAGAGCUCCUGCUUUUCGCACCCGCCCCAGCGCUACCAAUAAACCCCAGCUGCAGUGCAGGGGCUGGUGGGCAGCCCCAGGGGCUUUUUGGGGGCCAGCAGAGCCCCUCUUCUCACUUAAGCACUGCAUGGAUUUGCCACACAGCUACUGCAGCACACAGAGCCCUGGCUGGGUGGAGCCGGAGCAGCUCCGGCCCCGGGUCAGCGUCGCGUGGCCCCCCCUUAGCCCCGGGGUCCCACCCCCUGCUCGAGGGACAGAUUUCACCCUCCUGUUCUUGCAGGGAGCAGAGAGCACAGGACUCAUGGUGUAGGGGUUAAGGCAGAGGCCAGGUUGGCUGCUGAGGGCUUUUUCCCCCGGCAGAAGCAUCGCUGGUGGGGACCGUUCCCAGUGGGAUGCACGAAUUCCAUGGGCUGGGUCCUUGGCACCACAGGGAGCAGCUGCUGAGCAUCUGGUCCAGCUCCUUUGGUGCCCACUGAAACCCUGGCAGAGCACGGGGUGUGUGUGGGGGGGAAAAUAAAACCAGACAAGAAAUCAGGAGGAUUUUUUUUUUUAAAAAGUUAAUUCUUCCUUCAUAAAGAGAAAUGUAAAAACUGGAAAAUAAAGCAAACUGGCUGGGCCAGAGCUCUGUAUAAAACACACACAACCAUGCAUACCAAAAUACCAAUAUUUUUAUAUUAACUUUUAAGUUAACAUAUGUAAACAAUUGCUAAAUAAAUACAUAAAUACACAA